AGAGUUUGAUCCUGGCUCAGGAUGAACGCUGGCGGCGUGCCUAACACAUGCAAGUCGAACGGAACUUUUACGGAUUGAGACUUCGGUUGAUUGAGGUUUAAGUUUAGUGGCGGACGGGUGAGUAACGCGUGAGUAACCUGCCUUUCACAGGGGGAUAACGUUUGGAAACGAACGCUAAUACCGCAUAACGUAGCGGGGUCGCAUGGCUCUGCUACCAAAGAUUUUAUCGGUGAAAGAUGGACUCGCGUCCGAUUAGGUAGUUGGUGAGGUAACGGCCCACCAAGCCGACGAUCGGUAGCCGGACUGAGAGGUUGAACGGCCACAUUGGGACUGAGACACGGCCCAGACUCCUACGGGAGGCAGCAGUGGGGAAUAUUGCACAAUGGGCGCAAGCCUGAUGCAGCAACGCCGCGUGAGGGAAGACGGUUUUCGGAUUGUAAACCUCUGUCUUUGGUGACGAAGAAGUGACGGUAGCCAAGGAGGAAGCCACGGCUAACUACGUGCCAGCAGCCGCGGUAAUACGUAGGUGGCAAGCGUUAUCCGGAAUUACUGGGUGUAAAGGGAGCGCAGGCGGGACAGCAAGUCAGCGGUGAAAUUUAUGGGCUCAACCCAUAAACUGCCGUUGAAACUGUUGUUCUUGAGUGGAGUAGAGGCAGGCGGAAUUCCGAGUGUAGCGGUGAAAUGCGUAGAUAUUCGGAGGAACACCAGUGGCGAAGGCGGCCUGCUGGGCUCUAACUGACGCUGAGGCUCGAAAGUGUUGGGAGCAAACAGGAUUAGAUACCCUGGUAGUCCACACUGUAAACGAUGAUUGCUAGGUGUGGGGGGUCUGACCCCCUCCGUGCCGGAGUUAACGCAAUAAGCAAUCCACCUGGGGAGUA
Molecule: ribosomal RNA, 878 nt
Filed under: uncultured bacterium
Lineage: Bacteria
Description: bacterial SSU rRNA
Rfam family: Bacterial small subunit ribosomal RNA
Source: RNAcentral